RNAcentral lists this ribosomal RNA (257 nucleotides) under uncultured bacterium. Its description in RNAcentral is "partial 16S ribosomal RNA". It matches the Rfam family "Bacterial small subunit ribosomal RNA", at positions 29 to 289 of the family's 1533-position model. The record is from RNAcentral.
AUUAACGCUGGCGGCGUGCAUGAGACAUGCAAGUCGAACGGACGGGCGAGCUUGCUCGCCCGUUAGUGGCGGACGGCUGAGUAACGCGUGGGUGACCUGCCCCGAAGUGGGGAAUAACUGCCCGAAAGGGUGGCUAAUACCGCAUGUGGUGACUGGUUCGUUCCAGUCUCCAAAGCCGCAAGGCGCUUCGGGAGGGGCCUGCGUCCGAUUAGCUCGUUGGUGGGGUAACGGCUCACCAAGGCGACGAUCGGUAGGUG